GGCUCGGUAGCUUAAUUGGUAAAGCACUCGUCUUGCAUACAAGACGUGGGUUCAAAUCCCACCUGAGCUC
Aedes aegypti (yellow fever mosquito) is the source of this 70-nucleotide non-coding RNA. The record is from Rfam. Lineage: Eukaryota; Metazoa; Arthropoda; Insecta; Diptera; Culicidae.